GACGAACGCUGGCGGCGUGCUUAACACAUGCAAGUCGAACGGAAAGGCCCUGCUUUUGUGGGGUGCUCGAGUGGCGAACGGGUGAGUAACACGUGAGUAACCUGCCCUUGACUUUGGGAUAACUUCAGGAAACUGGGGCUAAUACCGGAUAGGAGCUCCUGCUGCAUGGUGGGGGUUGGAAAGUUUCGGCGGUUGGGGAUGGACUCGCGGCUUAUCAGCUUGUUGGUGGGGUAGUGGCUUACCAAGGCUUUGACGGGUAGCCGGCCUGAGAGGGUGACCGGCCACAUGGGGACUGAGAUACGGCCCAGACUCCUACGGGAGGCAAGAGUGGGGAAUAGUGCACAAUGGGCGGAAGCCUGAUGCAGCAACGCCGGGUGCGGGAUGACGGCCUUCGGGUUGUAAACCGCUUUCGCCUGUGACGAAGCGUGAGUGACGGUAAUGGGUAAAGAAGCACCGGCUAACUACGU
RNAcentral lists this ribosomal RNA (467 nucleotides) under uncultured bacterium. RNAcentral's name for it is "partial 16S ribosomal RNA". It matches the Rfam family "Bacterial small subunit ribosomal RNA", at positions 28 to 506 of the family's 1533-position model. The record is from RNAcentral.